Molecule: ribosomal RNA, 497 nt
Filed under: uncultured bacterium
Lineage: Bacteria
Description: partial 16S ribosomal RNA
Rfam family: Bacterial small subunit ribosomal RNA
Source: RNAcentral
GAUGAACGCUGGCGGCGUGCCUAAUACAUGCAAGUCGAGCGAACAGACGAGGAGCUUGCUCCUCUGACGUUAGCGGCGGACGUGUGAGUAACACGUGGAUACCCUACCUAUAAGACUGGGAUAACUUCGGUAAACCGGAGCUAACACCGGAUAAUAUCUUGACCCGCAUGGUUCAAUAGUGAAAGACGGUUUUGCUGUCACUUAUAGAUGGAUCCGCGCCGCAUUAGCUAGUUGGUAAGGUAACGGCUUACCAAGGCAACGAUGCGUAGCCGACCUGAGGGGGUAGUCGGCCAGACUGGAACUGAGACACGGUCCAGACUCCUACGGGAGGGAGCAGUAGGGAAUCUUCCGCAAUGGGCGAAAGCCUGACGGAGCAACGCCGAGUGAGUGAUGAAGCUCUUCGGAUCGUAAAACUCUGGUAUUAGGGAAGAACAAAUGUGUAAGUAACUAUGCACGUCUUGACGGUACCUAAUCAGAAAGCCACGGCUAACUACGUG